Molecule: long non-coding RNA, 25703 nt
Filed under: Brassica napus (rape)
Lineage: Eukaryota; Viridiplantae; Streptophyta; Magnoliopsida; Brassicales; Brassicaceae
Description: long non-coding RNA (BNAP_LNC026143)
Source: RNAcentral
CCUGAAGUUAACAAAAUACUCAUGCAUGAAGAAAGAUCAUCUAUAUAUACUACAAAACAAUUAUACAAAACCAAGAUAUACCAUUAAAAUUCUCUAUACUACAAGUUUAAAUACAAAACAAAAUCAAAAGUAAAGAAAAAAGAAGAAGAAGGAGGUAGAUAAACCAGUUUAAGAUAACUCUCAAAACAAAGAAAAAAAAAACUCAAAUAUUAAUUAAAAGUUUAAUACAAGAAGGUAAUGCAUGAACUUAGCUAGUUUGGAUCAACAACAAAGUUUAUCAGCUAGAGCAUCCAUUUCAUCAAUGUAGAAAACUUGGUUGUGGAUGGUUGGCCUCUUCAUCACUUCAUUGAUGUCAAAGUGGAGGAUGUUCCCUUGUCCAAGAUGAAGAUAAAUCUUUCUUCGUCUAACAUUCACAAUAGCUCCUGCUAUGGCUAAGAAUGGUCUUCCAAGGAUCAAAGGGUCUUGGGCUUCCUCCCCCAUCUCCAACACAACAAAAUCAGUAGGGAUCUCAAAGUUACCAACCAUCAAGGGAAGGUCUUCUAAGAUACCAACAGGAAUCUUCACUGGUCUAUCAGCCAACACCAAAGAGAGUUUACACUUCUUGUAUUGAGUAAAUCCAAGCUUCUUUGCAAUAGACAAAGGCAUCAAGCUGAAACUAGCUCCAAGAUCGCACAUGCACCGCUCAAACACCAUGGGUCCUAGAGCACAAGGUAAGGUGAAACAUCCUGGAUCCACUAGCUUCCUUGGAAUAAUUAAAAGUUUAAUACAAGAAGGUAAUGCAUGAACUUAGCUAGUUUGGAUCAACAACAUCUACGGUCGCAGCACAAGAGAGUAACCUUCGAAAAAACCGGAACAUAACAGAACAAGCUUGUUCUCUCUUCUUCUGCUUCUUUCUAACUCUCCUCUUCUCACGACGGCGACUCGGUUUUGACUUCUCAACGAUGACAUCACUUUCCUCCUUAUUCCCCUUCCUGAACGAGGCCGUUUCCUUAAACCUCCCUAGACACGAGGUUUGCGUCGCUGAGGGCAGUACCUUCGCCGAUUUGCUCUUGUCAUCGUCAUCUUCCCGAGAGAACGUGUAGCUUCGGAGAUACAUCUGUCGGCAUGAGAUACUAUCCACCACACGCGCCGUGGGUACGCCGCCUCCACGUCGGACGGAGCGGACGAACUCUGCGUCCUAAUAGCUGUCUUUUGAAUCUUCCAGAGAAUGGCAGCUUUGGCUCAUAGGGAGGAAGAACAAAAUAGGAUUCCUUUGUUGGAGUAGCAGUUUCACCAUGUUUCACUGUCCUCUUCUCUUCUCCAACCUUUCCUUUAACCUUAGCUUCAACAAUCUUUUCUAGAAUCUAUUCAUCAACCUUCUCAUCUACAAUCACCACUUCAUCAUCAAUGUUGAUAGCCACCUCCCCACCUUGCUUUUCACCAUCCUUGGUGAGAACUCUUGGAGGUAACUCUCUACCACUCCGUAGGGUGAUUGCUUUCAUUGUUUCCUUGGGAUUUUGCUCUGGCUUUCCAGGUAAUGCCCCUUUUUGGCGACUUGGCUGAGAGUUCAUUGAAGCAAACUGGUUCUCCAAAUGUCGGAUCUUGUUGUUGAGUUUAUUGUAGCUUCCAUCAAUCUUGGAGUGAAUGUUCUUGAAUUCAUAACCCAUUGUCUUCUCAUUCUUUGCCUGAAAAUCCAAAAGUAUCUAGUUUUUGUUGUUGUUGUUGUGUUUUUGUGAUUAUACCCCUUUCCUCCGGUGAUUCUGCAGUGUGUAUGUGUAGUAUAUAUGAGUGUUUUAAAAAAAAAGGUUUAGAGACGUGGAGGAAUAAGUGAAGCUUGAAUUUAAAGAAAAGAUAAGUGGAAAUGAAAGGAGAUAUGUUGAAAGAGCAUGAUUAAGGGAGGCAGGGGAUAUUAUUUUACUUUCAUAGAAGAGAAGGAGAAAAAUAAUACAUAUGACAACUAGUGGUGGUGGGGGUGGUAAUGACUGCUUUUUGUGUUGUAUUGUUUUAAAAUCAAAGCAAUAUUAGUAGUAAUUAAUGAGAAUGGGUUGUUAUGAUUUGGUGUGAUUAAAAUGUACAGUUGCUGUUUUUUUCUUGUUGAAAUUGAUAAGUAAUUAGUAACUAGAUUUUAAUCCGCACGUCCGUGCGGAUAUUUUUUCAUUUUAAUGUUAUAUAUUGUGUACCUUUAUAAUAUUAUUGUUUAUAUUUUUUAUUCAGCAAUAUUAGUAUAUAGUGAUUUGUUUAGUACAUUUUACUUUGUUAUUUAUUUUUAUUACUUACUAAUAUAUUUUCGAGUUAGCUACAAUAAAAUAACAACCUGAAAUAAUCAGAUGGAGAACCUCCUUUAGGAUAUAUUGUUUCUUUAAUUUAUACAUUUUGCAUAUAAUACAUUUUUAAAAUUUUCUCUUCCUCAGUUCUUCCCAAAAAGAAACCAUUGCUUGCAGUAUCAAGCAUGUUUAUGCACUGUGGUAGAGCUCCUCUGUAGAAGGUGCUAAGUAAGUAUAGAAACGAAAUAUGUUUAAAAUUUUUUAUACUUACAUGUUGUGUUUAAAAAAUAUACUUUUACAUACAUCAUUUAAGUAUUUUACGAGAUUUAUAAAUAAAAGCAUUGUUUUGUUUAAAUAAUAUAGCUCUACUAUUUUAGUAAAUUUUGUACAUAGUAGAAUCAUCAUAUUAUUUUAGUAAAUUGUAUUUAUAUAGGAUAUUUUUUGGAUGUUAUGAUAUUAUUAUUAUUUAAUUAAGAUUUCAAAAUAUUAGAUUGCAUUAAUGUUAUGUGGUGCAUUUCAAAGAGUUAUUCUUUAUUAUUAUCUAUGAUUUUAUCUCUUGUAAAAUUUGAAAUAUUAUCAUUUUGAUUUUGAAUAUUUAUUUAUCUUCUCCCACUGGUGUGCCUUGUCACCCAAAGAGAAAGGGAACAACUUUAACUUGAAAGCAUCUUCAGAAACACCAUUUGUCUUGGACAAGCCACAGUAUUUCAUAUUUGUUAAAAAAACUUUGGAAAAUUACACAACUAUUUUGAGUUUGGAAGACUAUAUGAAUUUUGAUUUUUUUUGCUAUUACAUUAAUACAUUAUUUUAUAAAAAAUUUGAAUUUUUCGUUAUAUUUUUAAAAUUUUUCUCAACAUAUUUUUUUAUAAUUAAAAUUUGAUUUAUGAUUAAUAUUUUAAAUGAAUUACUAAAAUUUCAUAGUUUUCUAAUAGGCAAUCAUUAAUUUUAAGUCCAUUAGCCAUCUUAACACCUUUAACAUCAAAUCUCUUUGGUAAAGAAUGUUAAAAGCAUAGUAGAGUUGGUUCAGGCAUUUCAUCGAACACCUAUCGGGUGUGAAAUGCCUAAGGCUCAACUUUAGAGAGUCCAACUCUAAAACUGCAUUGAAAACACUUUACUAGCAAGGAACAAGAUGGAUCUGUAUGGUCGAAGGUAAUCAGCUCUUGGAUCAAUACCUCCUUGGGCAUCACCAUCUUGAGGCAGAUUCUCCAUAUCAAACCCUAACCUUUGCAAGUGAGCCUGUUGCUCUACUUCUCUUCUCUGUCUUGCAAGCUCAUUCACUAAGAUAACUCAAGCAUCAAAUCUCUUUGGUUGAAUAUUAUCUAAGCAAUCAUUAAUUUCAAGUCCAUUAGCCAUCUUAACACCUUUAACAUCAAAUCUCUUUGGUAAAGAGUGUUAAAAGCAUAGUAGAGUUGGUUCAGGCAUUUCAUCGAACACCUAUCGGGUGUGAAAUGCCUAAGGCUCAACUUUAGAGAGUCCAACUCUAAAACUGCAUUAAAAACACUUUACUAGCAAGGAACAAGAUGGAUCUGUGCUACAACACCUUAGAUCUAGCCUAAUCACCCUUAGUCUCCCUAGCCCAUGAAUCCAAAUAUAAUUACUCACUAAUCUUCAUGAUAAACCCCGGAAUCAAUGAUGAUUUGGUGUUAAUCAUGAUUAGUGAUCAAAUUAACAAAGCAAUCACAAAGGAUAAUGAUCAAGAUUAGAUCUUUUUACCUAAAGGUUCCUUUUUUGAUUAGAUAGAAAACAAGAUGAUCCUAACUUUAGGAUUACAAGAGUAUUUAUAUGUCUUUGGUAAACCUAAUGGUUUCCAUUAAAAAGUCUUAAAAGCCCUUAAAAACAUUAAAAUUCGACUAAGGUAAAGUCUCGACUCGGGUCGAAACAACUGGGAACACCCCGCGUCGCACCACCCGCGUCGGAUAGUCGUCGAGCUUCUUUCUUCAUGCGAGCGGGUAGGCGUCUCCGUGUGGCCUCACCCCACGUCGGACCGUCGUCUUCUCUUCUUCCUACGCGGGUAUUCGACCCCGCGUCACUCAACCCGCGUGAGAUCGUCUAUGCUUCGUUUCUCUCUGUGCGUGCGGGUAACGGUGUCCGCGUGAUCCAAGCCGCGUUGGAGCUCUCCAUUGGCUCCUCUCGAUGCCUCGACGCGGGUAAGAGUACCCGCGUUGGUUCAACCCGAGUUGUGCUCGCUUAAACUCGAACUAACUUCAUUUUCCAUCUCUUCUUGAGCCAUAAUGCUUCUAGACACUUCCAAUUACUCCAUAGGACACUCCACUACCUGAUUAGGACAUAUGAAUGCAAUAUGGAUUCUAAAGAUGCUAAGUUCCUAAUCUAUAUGAUCAUUAUAUGCAAAAUGGAGACUUAAAACAAUGCAAAUAUGCAAGAUAUCAAGGCUCUUAUUUAGGCUCAGGUGCGAUUGUGUCCUUUAUGACAUCAUUAGCUUUCUUGAUCGAGCCUGUCCAUGCAUAUACGGUGGGAGAACUCAUAGGCUAAGGGAAUUGACCUUGGGUGAUCAAGUUUUAAUCUAAAGAUGGUAUCUUUCAAUCAAUCUAUUAACUUUAGACCUAGGCACAAUCCUAAACAAACUCUAUCUCUAGAUGAAUGCUUAUUCACUAAGAUAACUCAAGCAUCAAAUCUCUUUGGUUGAAUAUAUAUAUAGCCCCAAUAGUUCUUCCACGGUUUGCCUUUACCUCUUGUAUAUAGAUGUACGCAAUGAAGGCACCUUUGUGCUCUACACUGAAAAUAGUAAGGUAAAGAAAGAUCUUCACUUUAGUUUUGUUUAAGAAAGUGUUUUGUGGACUAUAACAGACGUUAGCAUUUACUUGACAGAAAACAAUGGAAGCGGCAGUGGUAGUGAGCACAGGAGGCGACUGCGGUAACUAGCAAAAAUUGCUUCUCAACACUUGAUCGCAGAGGUAGCAAUCUUAGGAAUUGUUUUGCAACCUCAAAAACAUGCUUGUGAUUGUGUUCUUGUGUGUAACAUAACAAUGGUGUAAAUGUAUAUAGAUGUAAGGGCCGGACCUUGAAGACUGUCGUGAAAAACAGCCUCUUGGUCAUGGGUUCUAUGCAGACUUCACUAUGGCAACAAGGAUAACAAUGCAAGACUUAAUCACCGAGUGUGUUGUAUUUUGCUUUGAGUUCAUGUGUUUCAUCAAUUGAUUUUGUAUGUUUUGAAUCUUUAAUGGAAAAGCAUAUUGUAAUUUAUGAUUUAUUUAUGUUUUAUUAGAGAAAAUUAUAUUUUUUAAUCAUAUUGCAAUAUAUAUUAUAAAGAUCUUAUCAUUUCUAUUUAUAAAUUUAUAUAUAAUUUUAACAAAGUGACUAGCUAGACUUAUGUUUAACCCCUAACCCCUAGAUAUAUUUUUAACCCCUAGACCAUAAAUAUAAUCAUAAAGUCUAAAUUUUGAACUUUAAAAAAAAAAAAACUUUUAAUAUUUAUAUGAAAAGACAGUUCGAUAUAAAUAUAAUAAUGCAACCUGAAUCCAUCUAAUACCAUAAAUCUAAUUCCCUAAACCCUAAACUUCAAGCUUGAAUGAUAUUCUAAAUACUAGAUAACGUCUUUUUCAGAUUUUAAACCCAACAUUUAAACUUAAACUUUAAAUCUAAUUUUUAAAACUCUCAAAUCUUAAAUGUAAACCUUAAAUUCUCCAUCAAAUUCUAUGCCCAAAAUCCUAACUUCAAACAUAAACCGUUCAUCCACUAAAUAUAUACUUCCAAUCUAAAUUUUUAAAAUUUAACAAACUUCAAAUCUAAAUCUUAAUCACAAACCUUUACAUACAACUCUAAACCUUAUACUUUCAUAACUCUAAACCUAAAAGUUAAAAUGACCCCCAUGUACCAUGAAAGAGAGUGUAAUAAACAUCAAUACAAAUGUAGAAUGUGUUUAGAAAUUUAAAAACAUCACUAAAGAUCAUAGGCUUCAGUAUAUAAAGAAUUUACCAAAAAACUCAAAAUUUUCGUAAGGGUUAACACAUAGAUUUUGAGAAAAAUUCAUAAAUAUGACAAUACUGUUUUAAUACAUAAGAUGAAUGUCAAAGGUGUUUGAAACGUUUGUUGUCUCAGUUUCUCUAGAGAAUAGCGAUUUUAUAGUGGUUCGUUCACCAAUUUAGGGAGUAUUAUGAACUUUUACUAAAUUAAUUGAUAAAAAAUUAAAACGCUGCCCGUGUACUAUGAAAGAGAGUUUAAUCUAUAUUUAGUAAAAACAACAGUGCUAUAUCAUAAACAUUGAAGAUACUCGUACUUAAAAAAUAAAUUGUAAAACUAAAGUUAUUUUUCUUAAUCCUAAACUAUUAAUUUAAUCUAAAAUGUUAAUCUUGUAAAUCUUAAACUUCACUUUAGAAUAAAUAAUAAUCUACUAAAAUAUAUAUAUAGUAGUUUAGGGGUUUAUAUAGUACACUUCAAACCCUUAACAUUACACUUCAAACCGUAAACUCUACAUCCAAAUCUUAAUACAAACUAUCAAAUUAUUAUUUUCAAAAAACAAUCUCAAAUCUUAUCAUAACUCCAAGCCCCAUAUAUAUAUUCAGAUUAGUUAACUAAACUUCAAAUUUAAUAUUCUCUUCUUAAAUCUUAAAUCUUAAAACUAGCUCCACACUAAAAUUUAUUCCCAAUUUAAAAAUUGUAAAAUUAAAUCUUAAAUUAUAAACUUCAAAAUAUAAUUUUUGAAUAAAACAUUACUUUAAACAAAUAUAAGCACAAAAAAAAUCAUCAAAUAAUGAAAUACAAGACACAAGAUCAUGGUUGCAUCAUGCACUAAUAUAUGAUGAAUGUCAAAGAGGUUUGAAGCAUUUGUUGACUCCGUUUCUUUAGAAAAUAGCGAUUUUAUACUGGUUCAUCCACCAAUUUAGGGAGUUUUAUGAAGUUAUUCUAAAUCACCUUCUCAACCGUUGGAUUAUAUUAAAUCAAAGGUCAAGAUUCAUUUUUUUCUUUUUUCAUUUUCCCUCACUGGCUCCCUCUCUCUGCCGACAGAUCCAUUCUUUUUUUUUAGUCUUUUCAUCUUCUUUGCUCUCAUCUCUCCCAUUCCAUGUACCAUAAAAAAGAGUUUAAUAAACAUUAAUAAAAACGUAGAAUGUAUUUAGAAAUUUUAAAACAACAAUAAAGAUCAUAGACUUCGGUAUAUAGAACAUUUACCAAAAAACUCAAUAUUUUCGUUGGGGUUAACGCAUAGAUUUUGAGAAAAAUUCAAAUCCUCAAUUUCGUGUCUACGGCCUUGUUCUCUUCCUCAAGUUUGGAUGCCGUCCCAUUUUGGUCCUCUCUUCCCCAGAAUCCAUCGUUUACGGCCUCACUGGAGAGAGAGGAGACCGAGAGAAUAAAGAAUAGAUAGAGUUCGGUCGGGGGUGCUCUUCAUCUUGUCUCUGAUUUUUGUUUGGUCGUUUCAUAUUCUGCUGAAAUUUGAUCGAUCUGUUGUUUGUGGUGUUGAGAUCUGUUAAAAUAGAAUUCUUUGAUCACAAUUCUGAGUUUAGAGUUUUCAUAGUCUUGCAAAGAAAUCAGAUCUGUGUUUGCUUGUGUAGAAUCUGUGCUAUCUGUUUCUGUUUUGGUUUGAGAAGAUUGAUUAAUUUGUUUAUGUUUAUGAUUGAUCUUAUUUCAAUUGAUACUGUUAAGUUUAAGACAAUUUCGAAAUUAAUCUAAGCUGUUUAGGAUCUGAGUUUCAAUUUGAUCAGUUUCUGAUAGUGUAAAAGUUUGAAGUUUAAGUUUUAGAUUUCGAAAUUAAUUUGAUUUUUGAUUUGUUUGUUCUUGUUACAGGAAGAAGACGGAUAUGAAGAAGCUUUGCUGGUGGAGAUGGAUCCGAGCAAGAAGAAGAAAGAGAGAAAGAGGGAGAAGACAAAGACGUAAGGAAGAUGGAAGAGGAAGGUGACGAAAGAGGAAGGCAGCGGCGUAGAUUAGGUUUAGUUUUGGUUGGUUUAUUAGGUUUGGUUUAGAUAGGGUUAAUUUAAUAAAUCGGUUUGUGUGUAAACCAAUGUUAAGAAAUAAACCGAUAUUAAUUGAAAACCAGUUAUUUGUAUACUGAUUUUAAUUAAUAAAUAAAAUUUAAUUUUUAAUUAUGAAUUAAUUUUUGAUUUAAUUUUGAAUUAUUUAAUUAUGAAUAAUGUUUUGGUUAAAUAUGUUUAGGUGUAGUUUUUAAUAUAGUUUGGUAAUUAUUUUUAAUAAAUUUUCGGACAAUUAAAAAUAAAUUAAUAACACGAAACAUUUGUUCUCGUUGUUUAUUUAAACUAUAGCAUUCGAAAGAUCCGCUAUCAAAAGGGUCAGAGCUACGAUAACGGGCGCUGUCAGAGCGUUUUAGGGAACACUAUUAAAACGAAGUAAUAGCGUUUAAGGCCCGUUAUUAAUACCCACAUUUCCUGUAGUGUCCCCCCCCCCCUUUUAGCCAUCCUCUCAGUUUGUUCCUCUUCAUCACCAGAUGACUGCUCAAUGUCUAUAUAUCACAUCCUUGUCUGGAAUCUCAUCCUCGUAGUUCUCAUUUCUAAACAUGCUAAGAUCCUCUUCAAUUUUUUUGUCAAUAUCAUCUUCAUUAUCAAAUUCAUUAGUGUCUUGGUACUCAUCUUCACUCUUUUCUACUUCCUGAUCACCAUUAUAGGUAUCAUCUUGUUGCUCAACAUCAAUCUCGUCAUCAUCAAGAGCCUGUUGCUCAACUAUCUCAUCACCAUAAACAGCAUGUUGCUCAGCCUAUGUGUCAAUCUCAUCAGUACUCUCUCAUUAUUAUCGACCUCUAUCACAGUAACAACUUUAGACUAUGUGAAGACAUCAAGCUCCCUAUACGAACGACCAUUGGCAUUCAUCUUCCUUUUGUUUUCCUCUCUAUUUUCAACCAAAUCCUUCUUCUCUAAGAUAUCCUCAUAUGUUAACAUGUACCAAAUUUUUUCCACACUAAAUUUCUAAACCAUCUUCUUCAUAAGUUCUUCAAUACUGCAUCACCAUCGACUUCAAGCUGCUCAAGAAAACCAUUGACAUAAUUUAACUUCCCAUCUUCUUCAUUUUUGAACAUACCCGGAUGAAAACAGUUGAUUUUCACUAAGAUAAGAUCACUGUUACCAAUAAAAUCACAAAAAUCGGUAAAAAAGACAUCGUCAAAUCUCCGACAACGUUUCGCUUAAGACAUCGUGAAAGACAUUGUUACCUCAUCGUGAAUCCAUGUAUGACUGACCAUCUUCCUUUGAUUGAACCCUAGAAUCGACUCCAUCUCUCUGUGUUACGAAAAAAUAGCAAAUAAACUAGGUUAAGACCUGCGCCUUGCGCGGGAUAAAAAUUAUAUAUAAAAAUAAUUAUAUAUAUAUUAUAUGUUUUUACAUGAAAUAAUAAAUAUAUAUUGAAUAAUUAAAAGUCAUUAACUAACAUAUAUAAUUAAAUUGGUGCGAACAUAUAAUUAAAUAAAUUUUAUUAAUCCAAACAAUAUUUUUUUUCUAUUUGAUAGGAUAUGUAAUUAAAUUUUAAAUGAUAUUAAUAUGCAUAUUAUAUUUUUAAUAUUAAUGUCUAUUAAAUGAUGAUUUCUACUCAUAUGAUUUUUUUUAUCAUUUGUAUCUUUUAUAUUAAAAACUUUAAAUUACUGAUAACAAAAUUUUCAUUGUGGGAUUAAUACUUUUAGUAAUUUAUAAUUUUUUUUUAAAUUAAGUUGUCAAUGUUCAUUCAAAGCUUUUAUAAAAAAAAUUGUUCAAAUUAAAUUCGAAACUAAAAUAUUUAUGUAUUUGAUAUGGUUUGAAACAAUAUAUAUGUAUAUCAAUCUUAAUAAUUAAUUAAAUUUGACUUUUUACUUAUAUGAUUUUGUAAUCAUUUGUAUUUUGUUAUAACAAAAAGUUUAAAUCAUGGAUCACAAAAUUUGAAUGUGAGACUUUUAAAGUUUUAGUAAUUUAUAGUCAUUUUUAAAAAUUUGAAAUAUAACAUGUACAGAAAAAUCUAAUUUUUUAUUAUAUGGUUAUUGUAGUUGUUUAAUUUAGUUUAAUAAUUUAAAAUUAAACAAAUAUGAUAGAAGAUACACUAAUUUUUAUCAAAUCUUUAUUAUUCAAAAUCAUUAAUUGCCAUAUAUACUUUAGCCGCAUUAGGCAAUUCUGUAAUUUUUAUUUAAGUAAAUUAUAAAGAACAUUAAUAAUGAAUUUAUGAUUAGUUUAAUAAAAUGCUUAUUAUAUAAUUAGAUGGACCAACAUAUUUCUUUAAUGAUUCUAAGAAUAAUUCUAAUGAUGACACGUGGCUACAAAUAGAAGUUGUAAUAUUUUUCACAUAAUAUAUAGGGGAUAUAGGGGAUUACAGUGUCUAUUAUAUACACCGUCAACGGUCAACAUUUCCUAAUUUUCGGUGUCCACAACCGAAUGAAUGGAUACCCAUUUUUGGCAGAUAUUAAUUUAAUAUGUUUAUUGAUAGCAAAAAUACUGCAAAGAGAUUUCCGGAAAUCAAAAUUUUUAAACAUUUACUCUUAAUCAAAAAGAAAUUAUUGACUAAUCGGGUUUAUGGUAGGCAUGGGUAUUCGGGGUCCCAAUCGGGUUUCGGUUUUAUCCAUUCGGGUUUAUCAAAAUCAAUCCCAUUCGAGUUUAUCAAAAUCAAUCCCAUCACUCUGCAAACCAAACUCGUAACUCUGCAUCCAUGUGAACGACGAAAGACGAUUGUUUUCUGGCACUGCGUGCUAGACUAUCCGCCCGUAAAUUCUUCGUCCGAGGUACAUGAAUAAUCUCUGAACUGAGGAAACUUAUUUUCAAAGUCUUUAUGUCUUCCAAAUAACUUUCAAACACCGGCCAUUCUUCUGGUUCUGAAACCAUCUUCACCAAUUGAAAACAAUUCGUAGCAAACGUGACCUGAAACUGAUGUAAGUUCCUCAUACACUCCAUUGCCCAUAUCAGCGCUUCCAUCUCCGGAUGUAUAGGUGAUAGACUUGCCCGAAUGUUUCUUGCCCUCAUCAAUCCAUCAAAACCCUCGAGAGUCCUAUACCAACCUUGCCCUGGAUAUGGAUCCUUAUCUGUCCACGAACCAUCGAUAAAACACCAGCGUCCUGUGAUUAUUGGAAGGUGCCUAACCUCCACUUACUGUGAUGCUUGCUGCAUGUUCAGCAUAUGUGCUUCAGCCCAAAGUGUUGAUUCUGUUUCCGCUAGAUUGAGCGUGUCUCUGGGAUCAAUGUCCAAAUUACUAAAAACUUUGUUCUUCCUUCAUUUCCAAAUGUACCAUAAUAUCCACGCAAAUUGCCUUAUGGUAGGCAUGGGUAUUCGGGGUCCCAAUCGGGUUUCGGUUUUAUCCAUUCGGGUUUAUCAAAAUCAAUCCAAUUCGGGUUAUAUAAAAGUUCGGUUCGGGACCGGUUCGGGUUCUAUCGGGUUCGGGUCGGGGUUAGUAAAUCUUCAAAGAACCGGUAUAACUCAUUGUUCUUUCGGGUUCGGGUCCAAAUCGGUUCUUUGGUUUAAAAAUACCUGAUUUGUACCUAUUUUGUAACUAAAACAUAAAUGAAAUCGGUUCUUCGGAUUUAAAAUACAUGAUUUGUACAUAUUUUUAUAGCCAAAACAUAAGUAAAAUCGAUUCAAAAAAAAAAAACAUCAAACGUGAUCAUUCAAAAUCAAGCGAAAGAUAAACAUAGUUAGUGAUAGAAAGAAAACCAGAUAAAUGAAAUCAUAAAACAAAAAAUAAGUUCUCAUGAAAUGAGAAACAUUAUUCAAUAAAAACAAAACCAAAAUCUAAAAACUUCAGGCAUCAACCGCCACAUUCCACUAAACAGACAUAACAUGAUUGGGCAAAGCCGUCACCACCGAUUUAAUAAUUACCUCUUUUCCUCCUUUAGUAAAAAAUCGGAAUGUCCAUCCAUUAACCCUAUUAUUCAAACGUUCCUGAACAAAACCAAAAACCUGUACCUUAGACCCUCCAAGACUUUCUGGCAACCCCAAAUAGGAUCCCAUGCCUCCUAUGUUUUGGAUUCCCAGAAUAUCUCUCAACUCUUGACGAAUUGAUUCUUCAAUCUUAUGCCCAAAUUGAAUUGAGGACUUCUGGAAAUUAAUUUGUUGCCCUGAGACAGCCUCAUAUUCCUGUAAAAUCCUAAGAAUAGUUUGACACUCCUCCUUGUUUGCCUUACAAAAGAAUAGACUAUCAUCUGCAAAUAGCAAAUGAGAGAUUGCUGGACACGCUCGCGCCACCUUUAAACCAGUAAGUUGUUUCUCUCUCUCUGCCCUCUUAAUAUUCGCUAUUAAUGCCUCAGUGCACAUAAUGAAUAAAUACGGAGACAGAGGAUCCCCCUGCCGUAGACCUCGUUGAGGAAUAAUAAGUCCCUGUGGCUGCCCAUUGAUAAGUACCCUAUAUUGGACCGAAGAGAUACAUUCCAGCAUCAAAUUAACCCAUCGAGGAUCAAAUCCCAUUCUGUGUAAAAGUGCCACAAUGAAUUUCCACUCAAUCCUAUCAUAUGCCUUACUCAUAUCCGUUUUGAUUGCCAUAAAUUUGUUCUGACAUGACUUAUUUGUCCUCAGUCCAUGAAACAUUUCCUGCGCGAUAAGUAUAUUAUCCGAUAUUAACCUACCCGCCACAAAUGCCGAUUGUGUCUCCGAAAUCAGUCUUGGUAGGCAAAUUUUCAAUCGUUGACAUAAAACCUUCGAGAUAAUCUUAUAACCAACAUUACAAAGGCUUAUCGGCCGUAAUUCCGUCAUCCUUGUGGGUCUCUCUACUUUCGGAAUCAUACAAAUAUUAGUCAUAUUUAAACGUUGAUCCAUAUUUCCUGUGAGAAGAAAAUUGUUCACCAGCUCAACCACAUCCCUCUUAAUUAUAUGCCAUGAGUGCUGAAAAAAAAGAGCUGUCAUCCCGUCCGGUCCUGGCGCUUUCUCUGGAUGCAUCAUAAAUAAAGCUUGUCGGACCUCUUCCUCCGUUGCCAUUCGCAGCAAAUUUUGAUUCAUUCGGGGAGAAAUAGAUGGUACUAUCUCCUCCAAAAAACUAUCAAAUUCCGUUGGAUCCGUGGUCGUAAACAGACUCUCAAAGUAAUCAACCGCCACCUUCUCAACCCCUUUCUCAUCUGUUAUCCAGUUACCUGUUUCAUCAUGAAGACCCACUAUUUUGUUACGAACCCUACGCUGCUUCGUCAAAGCAUGAUAAAAUUUAGUAUUUAGAUCUCCAGAUGAGUACCACAUAUUCCUGCUUUUCUGGUGCCAAUAUUCCUCCUCAUCCUUAUAAGCCUCCUGCAAUUUCCUAGAAACCUCAAUAAUCUCCUCUUGAGACCGAUUAUUAUCCAUUUGCACGUCUUCAAGUGCCUGUUGAAGCUUCUGUAUUUUAUCUUUUCCAUAUGGUUGAUUAUCUUUACGCCAAGUAGAUAUUUCAUGGCGACAAUUAGUAAUUUUGGUAACAAGAUCUCCUAGUUGUCCUUCCUGACUCCCCGUCCAGCCUGUUACAAUCGACUCCAUAAGACCCUCUUGGCCAAUCCAUCUUUUGUCAAAUCUAAAUUGCCCCCUUCUUUUCUUUAUAAAUUUAUCCUCUAAGAAAGCCAACACUGGGCGAUGGUCAGAUCCCACCAUCUUUAGAUACUCUGUAUAAGAACAUGGGAAAAGCGUAUGCCAUUCCUCAUUUGCCAAAGCUCGAUCCAAACGACAUCUGAUCGUCACUGCUCCUUUCCCUUUGCCCCUUCUUCCUUGCCAAGACAUUGUAUUUCCUCGAGCCGGAAAUUCUAGUAAACCACUAUUCCUUAUCAUAUUAUUGAACGGGAUAAAUGAAGUAGCACAACGAAGAGAACCCCCAUCCUUUUCAUGAUUCCCAGUAAUUUCAUUUAGAUCCCCAAUAAUAAACCAAGGUUCUGAUCUUGCCAAACCAAAUCGGGUUAGUCUCUCCCAUACUUGUUCUCUUAGUUUUGGCACCGGAUCCCCAUAAACAAAAGUAAGAAAGACUUGUUUUCCUUUAACCACCGCCUCAAUAUCUAUCAUUCUAUUGCUAGAAUAUAAAAUCUUCACCUGAUACUCAUUAUAAUAAAAAAGAGCUAAACCACCGCUCCUCCCAUUAGGAUCCACAGUAAUCACACUAUCAUAUCCAAAGUGUGAUUGAAACCCUUGUACAAACUCGAACUCCUGUUUCGUUUCAGAUAAAAAUAAAAAAUCCGGUUUGUGUUUAUGCCAUGUCUCCCGAAGAUAACUUAUGGUCCAAUGACUCCCAAGUCCUCUACAAUUCCAGCUUAAAAUUUUCAUAUAUAUAAUAAUAUCUUGUAUUGCUCUCUCGAGCCCAAAAUUUGGGUUUAAAGAUACCCAUCCAUUUUAUAAUCCCAAUAAAACAGUACCAAGCACCCAUCCCUACCGACGCCCAAACAAACCAUCUGGACCCCUUAUGCUGAUACUUGCAUUCCACGCUACAUCCGUACAGUCGCUCAAAUACAAUACUUGACAACUUAAUCCUCAAGCUCAGAAAUAAGACAUUCAUAAUUAUUCCUGCUAAUUGAUAUAUUGAGGUGAUAUAUAUUAAAAACAUACAUUUAAUUAUUUCGUGUAAAGAAAUAAUAAAACCUCGCAUCCUCACAUUCCAAAUCGCCUUCAGACGAAUAAAAUUUGAAACCACUCCACUUUCAAGUUUCCAAUUGUUCCACGUAGACCAAAUUACAUGUACCAAAGAAAUAGUAACAUGCAUAAUACGUACAUAAUCAAAUGCAUUAUAGUGAUUUCCUAAAUGUACGUGGCCUUUGAUUUCAACUACCAAAUAAACUAAUACCCCACAGAUAACUCCGCACCACCGAGGACGUAAAGCGUUUUCAACACUCCUGAUUACAUCUUGAACCCACAAGCUUUGUAUACUCACUAGCUCCCACCAAAAGAAAAUCAUGUUUACUAAACCCUGCCUAUGUAAACAUAUAAAUAAACCUAACCACCGAUUCAAGAUUAGACCGUUAAUCCACCAUCCUCCGUUAAUCCACCAACCUCUGUUCCCAUAAAAUAAUCUACAAACAUAUAUAUCAAAGUUCCUGUCUUCAAAAGACUUUAGUACAAUAAGAAGGGAAUGAGCAAAAUAAAACUCAUGAUAUCCACAAUUCCAAAUCCUCCUCCACAAAACCCUUUUGCCAGAAAUCAUCAACACGUAUUUUUGAAUAGAAUACCAGGAACUCAAUAAACCACUCUUAUUCCAAUACUCAAUAAGAACCAAGAGAAACAGAGCAAUGAAUACUACCCCCAAACCCAUGAAACCAAAUAAAACUUCAAAGAAAAUUAACUUUAAUGAUAAAAUGAAAGCUUCACCCCCAUAAACCCAAUCCUUUAUUCGUACUCUCAUUGUAAAUGAGAUUUGAUCCAUAAACCUUAGAACUUUAAGUUAACCGGCUUCGGGAUUGAAGGUCCCUUGCUCUCCGGUGGUUUGGUAUUGUCUCCAUGACGAGUCCCGACCUUAGCUGCUGCUGCUGCAGUUUUCUUCCUUGGUGAAAGAAGCGCAGACGCCAUUCUCAUUUUAGUACUGCCUGCAGUGCUGUUAUUAGGUUUAAAUAACCUCUUACGGUGACCCUGUCUCGUCGCCACCUCCCCUGUCCCCAGCUCCUUAUUGAUGUGCGCAUCACCAGCCACCGGUUCUUCGGCAUUCUGAAGAAGAACUUUCUCUAUCUGAGCCUCAGAAUCUUGCUCAAACUCCUCUUCUGAGAGAGUUUGAAACUCUUCCUCUGCCUCCAAAUCAACACCACUCGCCAUCAUCGCCGCAUUAAUAGCCUCAAUUUCCAUCUCAAUAUCGUCAAAAGGCUCAUCAUGUUUCUCCAUCAAUCCUUGCACUGCAAGUAAAUUCUUCUCCUCCUCCAUAGCCUCCACGACCACCUCCGAUCCUUCCGCCUGGGUUUUAGCAAGUUCCAUUUGAAAUUCUGCAGACGGCAAUGUGGCAUCAGCAUCUUCAUUCAUCGUGAUCUCCCCUUCUUCACGUGCCGGAUGUACAUCCUGAUGCUGCCCCUGAUCUUCUCUUCGUUGCAGUGGAUAUGUCUUAGUCGACACCCCUUGAGUACCAGAGCCCACAACUGGAACAGCCUCACGGUAUGUAGAUUUAACCCGUGAACCUUCCCCAUUACCUCUGUAGUUGCCGUGGUGGUUAUAAGAUCUCCUAUUACCCCGCUCAGGUACCUUCACCCACUUAGAAUCAGGUGCCUCCCCCAUCUUUCCCUUGCCCUUUCCAUAAUACUCCUUACAAUCUCUUUCUCUGUUCUGUUGGGCCGUAUUGCCGUUAAUGACCACACCCUUAUAGCUCCGAGCUCGCUCUUCAUGUUUCACGCCAUCAGUCCAUCCCCCAUUACCUUCUCUAUGCUCCCUCCUUCUCUCUGGUUCCGCCUUCGUGUUCUUCUCAUCAAGAGGGCAUAUCUCCUCCUUGUGACAAAGACUCCCGCAUCCCUUGCAAUAACCGAAGAGCUUCUCGUAACGGAGAGAUACCGCCACCUCCUCUUCCUCGUAGAAUUCUCCUCCUUUGAAAUCUAUCGACGUUUCAAAGCAUAGUUCUUUGAAAGCGUCAAUUAUAACUUGAACUCGGUUUUGAACCACAUCUACAUCCACCACUCUCCCCAAAGCACCACCAAUACUCUCCAGAGUAGGAGCGGUCCUAAAUUCAAGGGGAAGACCAAAAACUCUGAUCCAAAACGGGAUCUCCGAAGGGAAAUCCUUGAGUUGCUUUGGUUGCCACUUCGCCAAUGCCAGCAUCCAGUAGUCGAAGUGAUAUGGUUGCUGCCUCAACACAGCGUCAAGCUCCUCUUCCGUCAUGAAGUCAAACUGAAACUUGCCAAAGCCCAAGUCACUACCCGUAACCCUUUCUUCCAAUUUCCAAAUCUUCGGGAGAUUUGUAAACAAAGCCUUCAUCUCUUGUUCCACGGGAUUCAUGCACCGUCCAAUCAGAGUUUUGGAAUAGGUUCUGAUAAGCGCAGAGUUGUCGAAAUGCGCCACUGAAAUCUUCAACCUCUUCCGCUUGCCGUCCCCGUUCCUCUGCUCCUCACCAUUACUCAACAAAUUACUCUGCGCCAUUAAAACACCACAAAGAGAGCCCUUUAGAACUUUACUAUAAUAAGAUGAGAUAAGAAUGAUAUUCCAACGAAAGGUGACUUCCAUCUUAUUAUAUAGUGCCCAAUUUUCCAUAUUCACCAUCCUACAAUAAACUCCCACGAUCUCGUAUCCCUGAAAAUUGAAAUCUGCCAAUCUUACUUUCUCCAAAAACCGUAAACCCCAUAUCCUCCGUAUAUAAUUGAGAUCACUCCCAAUUAAAUAAAAGCAAAAGACUAAAGGAUCGCAAUCCAUUAUACAACCUGUAUUGAUUGAGCAAUCUGUUGUAGUGAUAGCCGAAAUCCGUCGCCCUUCGAUCCCAAUCUUUAUUUUCCUUAAAAUUCCGCCCAUCCCCUUUCUAAUACCAAAAUCGAAUCCCCAUCGGCCCGAGAUGCAGCCCUGAUACGCCGUCGCACAACCCUGAUCUUUCCUGAACGGACCGAUCCAAUCUCCGGUACCAAUCCCCGGUUCCCAUCGUCGCGAAAACAUUGAACCCUAGAUCUCCCGUUUCAUCGCCGUCAGAGCUAGGUUAUCAUUUUCUGUUCCAUUCAAUAUCCAAUUCCGUAAUUUUUAUUCAAGAAAAUUUUAAAGAACAUUAAUAAUGAAUUUAUAGUUAGUUUAAUAAAAAGCUUAUUAUAUAAUUAGAUGGACCAACAUAUUUCUCUAAUGAUUCUAAGAAAAUCAAUUUUAUCUAUGAACCCUAAAAAAAUUGAUUUGGGAAAAAUGAUAAGUUAAGUUGUGUCUGAUCGGGUUUAAUAAGUUGUGUCGGGUUUGUUUAAAACAUAGUUCAUUUUAAUAUAUUACGGAUUAACCUCAUUAACUAAGGUUAAAAUCAAUUAACAUAAACCUGGUGAUGUUAUUGAAAUAUUCUCAUACUUGGGAUGUUUUCUACCAUAUUCUUUGAUACUUGGUGUAGGUGGCAAAUUUGUUACCAAUGAUUAACAAGUUAGCAGUUUUAAUAAUGACAUAGCAAUUUCGACAAUCAUGCACCUUAAAGUGAUUGUAGAAUUAAGUAUUUGGCUAUUUGUUUUGACCUUUUUUGUUGGUUAUUCGGCUUCUUCAGUCUAGUUCACUGACUCAUGUCUCAUGGAAAAUGGAAACAUUUUGCACAUAUUAACAGUUUUCUUGAAACCUUUUUUCUUGAUGAUUUGCUAUCUAAACCUUGGAGGAAAUAAUUGUGCGGCUGUUAGAGAUAUAACAAAUUGGGAAUCAAUGUAAAAAAAAUUUCUCCUUUGUGGAUUAGCAUGUUUCAAAAGUGGUGGGUUGGUUUUAUCCAUUUGCAUAGACUUGCAAGAAAAUAAAAUAAUUGGUUACAUCCUUGAUGAGAUUGGAUAUUGUACUCUCUUUUCUUAUAUUUUUUUUAUUUUUAUUUUUAAGCAAAAGGCUAUACUAAAUUUUAAAAUGUUAUACGCUCGUGUUUAUUUAAAAUUCAUAUAAACCAUGUUGCGGAUAAAUUAACUUAGGAGAGUUAGAGUAGGACGUCGAUGUUUGGUUUCUAGAUUUCCGACUUUCGACUUCCAAAUCAAAAAUAUCUUCUAUCUCUAGAUUAAAAGAAACUUAUAUAUAAAGGAGAGUUACCAUAUCUCAAGAUAUGGUCGAGCUUUCCCCCAAAAUUCGCCAACAAUUAUAAGUCCUCAACUCGGACAGUAGUCCAAGCGGCCUUCACCACCCAUGACGAUAGGCGAUCCAGACCAAUCAGUCAUAUUUUAAAGUGUUUGUUUUGCUUAGUUGUAUUUUCAGGUGAUGUUCAAAUUAAAAUGAUGUAUGUUGUACAACAUUUGCGAUGUGACAAUCAUUGUUUAAUUUAAUUUUUUUUUGAAGACAUAAAUAAUAAUUUAUUAUGUUGAUCUUUGAAUUAAUAUUUAUGUAUUAAUAAAUAUCCGCAAGAUAAUUAUGUCUGCAUGUGCAGAGAAAAUACGUAAUUAUAAGCAUGGUUUGCCUAAUCACUUCAAACUUGAUUAAUAUUUAAUAGAUCAGUUUUCAGUUUAAAAAACUCACUUUUUAAAUUAAAAAUAAAUAAAUUAAGAGAAAGAUAUUAUCGUGAUAGUAGUAGGGAAAUUAGGCUAGAUAGCUAAGAAUAAAGCAUAUUUAAGUAUCUAACUAAAAAAAAGAGUCACCAUUAUUACUAUAUUAUAUACUAUAUUGCCCUUAGUAUCCGGUCAAUAAAAUCUCAAACACUUUCUUCUUUAAAUACCAAUCGCCACCACCGUCAUUUCUUUCUUAAUCACCACUAUCUCUUUUACUGUCGCCACUUCCACUACAAUCACCACAAAUCUGUAAUCUUUGUUUAGUAUUUUAUAUUUUUCUAGGCCACAAUCUUAUCAACCAUCAUCUCUUCCUCCAUAAUCACCACCGCCUCCAUCAACUCUGUUAUUCUCGUAUGUACUGUAAAUUCCAAAUUGUACUAUGCUAUCUCAUUGUUAUUAUUCUAUUUUAAUAAUGCUUCAUAUUAUGUACAAUGCGCAUGUUUUGAUAUUUGGAUUAGGGUCUUUUUUUUCAACAAACCAUCAUUAUAUUAAUAAAACUUAAAGGUCUUACAUCGGCUCAGAGGCCUGACAAGAGAGAGUGAAGAGAGCUGUCUUAGCUAAGGAAUCAGCCUCAACGUUGUCUAAACGAGGUACAAAACGAAAGGAGAUAGAGUCAAGGGAGGUACAUAACAUUCGGAUAUCAUGCAACAAGCCUUGAAGCUCGACACAUUUGCCACCUGAAGUGAGCAGAGUAACGAGGGUCUUUGAGUCCGAGAACAGAGUAAGCCUUCGAACAUCAGACAAAACGGCUGCCAUUAGAGCAGCUUUAACCGCGAGUGUCUCUGCUAUUAGGGCAGAGGAUACAUGACGUCGGUUUGUAGAAUCUUGGGAGGUAAAACCGGAACCCUUAUCUGUGAAUUUCCAUCCCAUGCCCCCAUUACCAGACCUUACAUCCCAAGCUGAAUCCACAAAGCAAGAUAAUCCAGGAGUUACCAAUGAGGUGGAGCAAGACUUACGAGUAGUUGUAGGCCGGUUAGUAGGGGAGCGAGUUUUCUUUUGUGCUUCUUGCCAUGCCCUAGCUUCUUUUAAUGACCUUUGAAUCACCUCCUGUUCUGACAGUACAAGAUCUUCAAACAUGAGUCUGUUGUGGCUGGUCCAUAAGUACCAGAAGAGCCAUGAAUGAAUCGGGUUGGAGACGCCCGUUGGAGGGAGACAUGUUAUUUUUUUGCUAUUUUGUAGAAGCAGAGGAAUCGUGGCAGUGGCAUCUGGAGAUGGCUUUAAAAUCGCUGGGAGUAGGUUCCAGACGCGUACCGCAUACAGGCAUUGCAGGAGGACAUGAAGGACUGUCUCUGGUGCACCGCAUCUCUUGCAUGUUCCCUCCACCAUUAUACCAUGAGCUAGAAGAUUCGCUCCCACAGAGAAUGCAUUGUUUCCAAUUCUCCAGAGUAGAUGUUUAGUCUUAGGAGAGGUGGCAACAUUCCACACACACUGGUUCCAAUUGAAAGUUUGAGUUCGAAGUGGAGAGACGUUAAGCUUCGAGAUCGCAUACCAUGUUUUUGUGGAGUACUCGCCAUUCUUUUCUGGAAGCCAGACUAUGGUAUCUAACAUACCGAGGGAGCUUGGGUUCAGUGUCAGAAUCUCCCGCUCAUGGUGAGGCAAGUGUAAACGGAUAGCUGCAAGAUCCCAUGAGGUGGCGUUCGGUAUGAAGAGGUCUUGGACACAUAGAUCUUUGGAACUGAGAGGUGGGGGACCUAUAGGCCUCGAAGGUUUAUCCAGCGCAAGCCAAGGCAUACUCCAGAUGUUUAUAUCUUUCCCGUUCCCCACCACCCAACCCAUACCUUAUUUUUUAACUUCUCGAGCUGCCAAAAGUCCUCUCCAUCCGUGUGAAGCUGAGCUUGGCGCAGAACACUCCAUAAAGGAGUAUGUGUGACAAUACUUGCCCAAUAAAGUACGAGACAAAAGUGAAGUAGGGUCCUUGAGUAUCCGCCAGGCUAAUUUAGCGAGGAGAGCAUCAUUGAAAAUCUCAAUUUCCCUAAAACCAAGGCCACCUACUGACUUGGGAAGAGUAAGGCGAUCCCAUGAAAUCCAACUCAUCUUUCUAGUGCUCGGUUUGGCAUCCCACCAGAAACAUGUAAAAAAGGAUUGAAUUUGCUUACACAAAGAGAUGGGGAGCUUGAAACAGGACAUGGCAUAUGAGGGCAUUGCAGCCAAGACCGCCUUAAGGAGCACUUGCUUCCCUGCUCCCGAGAGGAAGCUUGCCGUCCAACUGUGUGAUCUCUGUCUUAUCCUAUCCACUAUACUGGCAAAAAUGUCUAGUUUCCGGCGCCUGAAAUGUUCCGGUAGUCCUAAGUAUUUGCCAAUACCACCUUCUUUGUCGAUGUGAAGCUGGAGCUUAACUCGGUUUCGGGUGUCGAAGGGAGUUUUAGAGGAGAAGGUAAUGGUCGACUUAAGGAGAUUUAUCAUCUGACCCGAGGCGUUCCCAUACCGAGUAAGGAUGUUUUGGAGAGUGGCGCAACUCGCUUGGCUUGUUCUACAGAAAAACAUAGUAUCAUCCGCAAACAAAAGGUGAUUUAUUGCCGGGGAGUUGCGUGCUACCUUCAGACCAGGGAGGGAUACUUUCUCUUGAGCUUGCUGGCAUAGUCCGGAGAGGACUUCUGUGCAUAGUAUGAAGAGGUAUGGAGAUAGGGGAUCGCCUUGUCGUAAGCCUCGGGAAGGAGUAACACGACCUCGUGGAGAACCAUUUAUAAGGAAGGAGUAGGAAACAGAGCUGACACAUUCCAUUAUCCAAUCGAUCCAGAUGGAGUCAAAACUGAAACAUCGGAGCACUUCCCGGAGGAAAGCCCACUCGAUCCGAUCAUAAGCUUUGCUCAUGUCGGUUUUGACGGCCAUUGAACAUCGCUUUUUCGACCCUGACGUCCGUAGGUAGUGUAGAAUCUCAUGUGUAAUCAGCACGUUGUCGGAGAUGGCUCUGCCCGCCACGAACGCUGACUGUUGCGGUGAGAUCAGGUGGGAGAGGAUCGAUUUGAGCCGCUUAGUUAGCACCUUGGCGAUGAUCUUAUAAUGAGUGGAUCAUAAUGCUAUCGGCUUGUAGUCUGAUACCUUCCGGGGGGCUUUGAUCUUUGGUAUGAGGCGGACAUGGGUUUUGUUUUGGCGACGGUUGAGGAUACUGGUUUCGAAGAAACUUCUGACAUCCCGAGUAACAUCCUCACCAAUGAUAUCCCAAAACGAGUGAUAAAGUCCUGCUGAGAAACCGUCCGGACCAGGCGCUUUGUCCGCGUUGAUUAAGAAGACAGCCUCUUUGAUUUCCUGGUGGGUCGGUAUAGCAGUAAGCGUUGCAUUCAUCCCCGGGGAGACUAGAGGUUGGAUGACCUCUCUUACCACUUCCACUCCAUCCCGAGAUUGGGAGGUGAAGAUAUCUUGGUAGAAACUUGUAAUGGUGCUAGUGAUAAGAGGUUCCGUGAACACAGCAGCUCCUUCUUCAUUCUCGAUGAUCGAGAAUUUAUUUUGAGCUUUUCGUCCCCGAGUUACCGCAUGGAAAAAGCUCGUGUUUCUGUCGCCAUUCUACAGCCAUUGGAUUCUGCUUCUUUGUCUCCAGUAGCUCUCUUCUUCUUCGUAUGCGUUGUUCAGUUCAGUUGUGAUGGCCAUGAUGAGGGCAUCAUCCGGGGUUGAACUAGAGAGAGCAGUAUCGAGAUCAUUUUGGUCUGAGAUGAUACGCUUUUUGCUGUUUAAACUCUGAGUUUUUGACCACUCAACAAUGCUGGUCCGGACUCUAGAGAUCUUGGAGAUGAUAGAUUCCUCUUGGUUCUUGUCCCAAGAUUGAUCUACAAUCUGCCGGAUCUCUGGAAUUUCCUGAAGCCGUCGAUCAGAACGAAAGACCCUUUCUUCUUAGCAACAUCUUGAUCGAAAAAAGUCACUAAUGGCCUAUGGUCUGAGCCUUCGAAGCAGAGGUAUUCACAGUAGCCAGAUGGGAAUAACUCAGACCAUGCGCAGUUGGCCAUUGCUCUAUCUAGCCGGGAUUGUAUAAAGUGACUAUAACAGACUCCUCGCCAGGAAAGGGCAUUUCAUGUAUGUUGUACAUCCCAAAGGCCCGACUGAGAUACAAAGUUCCGGAAGGAGAGAAAGGAGCCCUCCUAGCGCAAAUGGCCGCCUUCCUUCUCGGAGUUGUCGAGUAAGUCAUUAAAGUCACCAGUGAGAAGCCAAGCCUCGUCACGUUGAGCACUCAGGAUCAUUAGGCGUUCCCAAAAAGCAGUCAUCUCUUCAUGUCUUGGAGCUCCAUAGACGAAAGUAACAAAGAAAGAGUUCUGCUUUGAGGUGAUCUAAGUUUCAAUCAAGUUGGGAGAAGAAUCCAAGAUUUCUAUAUCAACAUCAUCUUUCCAAGACAAGGAGAGUCCUCCACUGAGCCCGACAGGGGGGACAGUGAAGUGAUUAGUAUAAUCAGUGCGUUUGAAAAGAUUGAAAAUAGCUUCAUCUUGUUGUUUUGUCUCCAUGAGAAACACAAUGUCUGGGGAGAGACGUUUUCGAAUUCCCUUGAGACGUCGAACUGUAGGGGUGCUUCCAAUUCCCUGACAGUUCCAGCUCACACAUGCUAAGGAAGAAUGUUUGGUGGAGUCCGAAAAUCCACCACACGCUUGCUUGUUGCCGGUAGAAGCCUAGCUGGGGGAAGGAGCUCCUGAGUGUUGUCUGUAGUUUCAUUUGGAGACAAGGAAGCCGUUGUGCCUGAGCCACCAGAGUGCCUGUUGCGAGGAGAGCUUUGGACUUUUGACACUCUACGUUUCUUGAGGCUCACUCCUUGUAAGUUUGUGCGGUUUACCCUCUUAGUAGAUGUCGGCUUCUUCGUUGCUUCCUUAGAUGGAGCCUUUGGUAUCGCCUGAGCCUUAGAAGAGCUUGGUGGUCUACCUCGUUUCUUUUUCUGAGCAGCCAUAGGGGGAACGUCCUCCACUGGGUCCGAAACCGGGAGGCCUCCCAGGCGAAGGGAGACAUGUAGCCGAUCCUCACUUAGGGUCCUGAUAGGGACGGAGGAGAGAGGCAUGGGGAGAGACAAACGUUCUGAGGCUGGGACUCUAGAGCUUGAGGGCUUGGAGGAGCUAUCAACAGCCUGAUUACGGAAGGUGUCUUCUAGGUAAUGAAUUUCCACUUCCUGUAGUCGAAUGCUCUCAGAGUUGGUGAUGGAAACUCCAUGCUGGAGUAGGUUAUUCCCAGUGGCGGGUAGAGAGAGGCGUUCCAGGGCAUAUUUUCUAGUCUUUGCGGCAGUUGAGUCAUCUCCAUCCGGAGGAGGUGAGUUCAUAAGCUCUCGCGCUGGUCUUGGAGAUGGAGUGUGGGAUGGAGUAUGAGAGACUUGGACACUGUGUGGUCCAGUAUUAACUGAUUGGAAAGCUUUCUCCACCCAGACUCUGGUGCUCUCUUUCUCAGGGCGAGUUUGUCUUCUAGAGCCCUCACUUCCAGUAGGAGGAAUGGGUCUCAAGGAGGCAGAAUGAGUUUGAGAGUUUGAAGGUUGGUGGGUAACAGACUGGUUGCUAUAGCAAGCGGGUUCCUUCACGUAGCUCCUGAAGUCCACACCUCUGGGGGGACGUCGAGUGUCUUCAUACCUUGUGUUAGAGUAAGGUAUGCUGUCAGAGACUCUUCCCCUGUCUCGAGUGUCGGAGGGGUAAGUCGUAGAGAGUUUUUUCUCGUCUUGUCGACGUCUGUCUACUUCAAUGCGGUUCAGCGUCUGAGCUUGAUUAGUUCCCACAGGUUUAGAGAGACGUUCUUUGAGGGUGAGGGAGGAGGGGCAGUCUUUGGUUUCAUGGCAUAGAGACUUGCAGGAGAAGCAAUGCUUGUCUAGGUUUUCAUAUUGCAGCUCCACAGUCUUGAGUUCUCCUGAUGUAAGCUCUAUGUCGAGGUGAAAUUCCAAAGGCCUCAUACCAUUAACCAUCACUCUAACUCGUCCUUUCGAUGCUUCCUUAGCCGCCACAUGACCCAGUUCCGAACCAAUAGCGUGGAGGGAUUCAUUUGUCCAAUAGUGAAGGGGUAAGCCAUGGACUGCAAUCCAGAAAGGUAUGAGGGUAGGGAAACUGUCAGAGACAUUGGGUUCCCACCUUUGUAGGAUGAACAUCCAACGUUUGAAAUGGUACGGUCCUCUGCGGAGGAUGGAUUGGAGAUCAGCCUCCGAUUCGAACCUGAACUGAAAGAGGUUGGGGCCCAGGUCGCGGCCUGUGAAAGUUCCAACAACAGACCAGUGUUGAAGGAAUAAAUCCACAAGAGCUCUUGUUUUUUGGACCGCGGGGUUCGUAACUCUUCCAAUCAAAGUGAGCAUGUUCUCUUCUAUGAGAACACAGGUGUUGGAAGCUGGGAUCUUCACCGGAGCUCUGCGGCCUCUAGAAUUAGGGUUUACAGGCCACUUCUCCUUAUCCGAUCUCGAGUAUCUGUGAGUCAUCACGAAAUGUCGAGGGUGUUGUUGGAAGAAGGAGGGUUCGGAGAAAACUAUCCGACGAAACCUUAAAAACUAGGGUAGAGGGAGAGAAGUAAAAGAAACAACUAGAAAAGACUGCACAAGACAGUAAGAGAUACACGCCGUAACUAAAGAGCUGAAGCGGCCCCGGGAGCCAGGGAAGUUUCAGGCC